This 439-nucleotide ribosomal RNA is filed under the name uncultured bacterium. RNAcentral's name for it is "partial 16S ribosomal RNA". It matches the Rfam family "Bacterial small subunit ribosomal RNA", at positions 338 to 795 of the family's 1533-position model. The record is from RNAcentral.
CCUACGGGUGGCAGCAGUGGGGAAUAUUGCACAAUGGGGGAAACCCUGAUGCAGCGACGCCGCGUGAGUGAAGAAGGAUUUCGGUAUGUAAAGCUCUAUCAGCAUGGAAGAAAAUGACGGUACCUGAUUAAGGAGCCCCGGCUAACUACGUGCCAGCAGCCGCGGUAAUACGGGGGCUGCGAGCGUUAUCCGGAUUUAUUGGGUUUAAAGGGUGCGCAGGAGGAAGAUCAAGUCAGCGGUAAAAUUGAGAGGCUCAACCUCUGCGAGCCGUUGAAACUGGUUUUCUUGAGUGAGCGAGAAGUAUGCGGAAUGCGUGGUGUAGCGGUGAAAUGCGUAGAUAUAGGGAAGAACACCAGUGGCGAAAGCGGCUCUCUGGUCUGUAACUGACGCUGAGGUUCGAAAGCGUGGGUAGCAAACAGGAUUAGAUACCCGGGUAGUC